This 374-nucleotide ribosomal RNA is filed under the name uncultured organism. RNAcentral describes it as "partial 16S ribosomal RNA". It matches the Rfam family "Bacterial small subunit ribosomal RNA", at positions 527 to 896 of the family's 1533-position model. The record is from RNAcentral.
GAACCGUACAAACGUUAUUCGGAAUCACUGGGCUUAAAGGGUGCGUAGGCGGUCCGGCAAGUUGGGUGUGAAAUCCCUCGGGCUCAACCGAGGGAACUGCGCUCAAAACUGCCGGACUUGAGGGAGACAGAGGUGAGCGGAACUUAGGGUGGAGCGGUGAAAUGCGUUGAUAUCCUAAGGAACACCAGUUGCGAAAGCGGCUCACUGGGUCUCUUCUGACGCUCAGGCACGAAAGCUAGGGGAGCGAACGGGAUUAGAUACCCCGGUAGUCCUAGCUGUAAACGAUGAGCACUGGGCUGGAGGCUCCUCCAUAGGCUUCCAGCCGAAGCGAAAGUGUUAAGUGCUCCGCCUGGGGAGUAUGGUCGCAAAGGCUG